Molecule: non-coding RNA, 656 nt
Organism: Sus scrofa (pig)
Lineage: Eukaryota; Metazoa; Chordata; Mammalia; Artiodactyla; Suidae
Source: RefSeq, a predicted model, not a curated record
UCUCAGCUCACGUGGCCCUCGGCGGGCCGAACCCGGCCUCCGGGGUGGGUAGCAGUCCCGGCCACGCUCACCGGUGCGUGGAACAGGGUGGAGGAUGGAGCAAGCAGAAGCCCGUCGGAUCUGAAUGCGAAUUCCAGCUCUGCCAUCACCAGCAGGUAAAAAGUCAGAAAAAAUAAACAGAGAGCUGGUCUACGAACACACACGGCUGGAACCCGAACCCGGGUGUAUCCCGCAGCCACUCCAUGCAAGCGCGUUCUCUAAUGACAGCUGCGAGGCUAGGGGCACACAGUCCUGCCCUCCUGGGAUUGCAAUGAACGCAGAAGACAGGCAGCCGAGCCCAAUAUUUUUCAAAAGCGCGAUCCAUCAGAGCGCAGAGGAAGAAGAGCAUACUCCAGGGACUGCGGAGCGAGAACAAGUCAGACCAAGGGAGGACCUGCCGAGGGGGCCCUCCUAGAUGGACUCUUAUUCCCCAGAAGGAAAGGCAACGUGCAGAGAUUCGUACACAGGCUACAGCAAGAAGCACGGUCGUCGUACUUUGCACACAGAAGUCUCACCUCUGUAAUGGAUGUUUUCUAUUCCAUUCUAGUUCUGCUUCCUUUUUUCUUGUAUCCCUUGCUGGCUGCACCUCAUUGCAGUAAAUUAAUGUGAUAACUCUA